CGCACACAGUUUGAUAGUACUU
This 22-nucleotide microRNA is filed under the name Ananas comosus (pineapple). RNAcentral's name for it is "microRNA s0165_c068". The record is from RNAcentral. Lineage: Eukaryota; Viridiplantae; Streptophyta; Magnoliopsida; Poales; Bromeliaceae.